Molecule: non-coding RNA, 2088 nt
Organism: Oryctolagus cuniculus (rabbit)
Lineage: Eukaryota; Metazoa; Chordata; Mammalia; Lagomorpha; Leporidae
Source: RefSeq, a predicted model, not a curated record
CCCUGCCGUGGUGUCACCGAGGCCAGCAAGGAGCAGGAACAAGGCUCUCCCAUGCCUCCCUGCCUGGGAACUCUCAGUGGGGGCUACACAGGGAGCCUGGUCUCCCAGCAGUGCCAACAAGAGCCUCAUUUGGGUGUCAACAGCACUUGAAUGUCUACUUCCUACUUGACAGUCACAAGGAAGCCAGGUGCACCGUCAACUAAUUAAAACCAUGACUAAGGAGGCAGCAGUAUUCAGCCAGGAUCACGAUCAAGGCGGCUGACUCACUAAUUGUGAGUCCCACUGGGUAACUCCCUGCACGGAUGGAGGCAGCCAAAAGAAAGCAUCGAAACACGUAGGUCCUGGUUUCCAGUGAGGCGGGGUGGAGAGCAUCCCCAUGCUGCUGUACCCCCAGCUUCCUUGCGCCUUGCCUCAUCUUUAUACACCUCAGUUUUCUCAUCUGCAAAGUGAGACCACAGAACUACCAGUGUAGGUGUCCUGGGGGCCUGAAAUUCUCACUGGCAUGUGGGUCAUUAGGAUGGCUGCUAUAGGAACUGCUGUAAACCCACAGAAAGUGCACCUGCUCUGGGAAGUCAAAUGCUCUCAUCAACCUUCGGGCUGACUGCAGGAGAGCUUGGGACAAUACCUCACAUCCCAUGUGGGACCACAAUCUUUGAUGAGCACAAACUGGACAAAGAUUAUGGAAUGAAUGUGGCGGGGGGGGGGGGGGGUGCCAUUCGUGGUUAUCUUGAGGUACAAAUGAAUGAGCGCCUGUUCACACCCUGAAACCUCAAGCAGCUGUGGUAAGCCAGGAGCGGGAUGCCGGUGAUCAGACCGGCUUUGGCGAUCGCAAUCACAGGUUUCAGUGCACUUCUACAGUCUCGGAAGUCCACAGAAGCCCAGUUCUAAGAUCAACAUUUCAGGCCAAGUGUAACCCUCAGCCAAGUCUAUAUUUUUAAAAAAUUAGUAUUAUGCAAGAGCAGCUAUGCAGUGAAUUCCUCUGGGGCCAAAGGUAACGUCACGUGGAAACAAGUUGCUCAAAAAGCAGGGGAUGUGCUUCCCCCAACACACCUGUGGCUGCUGAGGCCGACACGGGGCCCAGCGUGAGACAGGGUGGCCACACUUCCACAGGAACGGGGGUGAAACACAGCCACAGACAUCGCAAAAGGCACGUCACACACCGAAUGCUGUCUCAAGGACUUUUAGACUCCUGAUUCUCAAACACGAGGUGACCAACCACAAGGGACUGCAGCUCAGAGGGUACAUCCACAUGGCACGGGUCUCCAACAGGCGGAGCUGACUUCCAGGUCACUGUCGCUUGGGUUAGAAAUCAGUAAGGGCGAUGCAGAAGCUCGGGAGUUGUGGAUCCGAGAAAGGUCUGAGCUCAAGAUAUCCAAGGUGGGGGUGUCUUGGGGUAGGUGCCCCGCGGUGGAAAAAGAAUGUCAGGAUAACAGAGGAAGAGGCUUGGGAGAGGCCACCAGCCCAAGACAGAGGUCACCAAACAUGAUUGGGGCAGGGGGUUGGUGGUGGAAGAGGCAAGUAUAAAGGGCAAAGGUCAGAAAGGUGUCAGCAAGUAUGAACUUGGCUUUGCCUCAUGGUGGACAGCAAAGGCAGUGAGCAGCGUCAGAGUCCUCGGAGGACUCUGCUCAUGAGAGACACAAGGAAUGUGUCUAAGCUGGGGAGAUACGAGGUGUGAUAAGGAUGUAGCCCCCGUGUGAAGAAGGGCAUGGAAGAGUCAGCAGCGUGCCUCAGUGCAGAGGCCGGGAAAGUAACCCAGGAGGUCACCAGCCAUCACCAACCAGUUUUAUUAUGUAUGUCUUCCACUCACACAGCUUCCGAAUCAAUCAAUCAAUCUACCACAAUUCACAACACUUAACGCUUUUUCAUAUUUUCCAAGGCCUAACAAUGAUAACUCCUCCUGUUUUUUAAUCACCCCCAGGGCCUUCUGAGUAUGCCAGGCAACAAAUCUUAUAGAACUUGUCCAUAGCACCAAAUUGUUCAGAAAGUUGCAAGACACAAGCCAAAUCCAUCAUGCUACAGUGUAGGCCUAUGUUCAUCCAGUAUAUAUAUUUUUUCACAAUUUGUACUCACUGUAUUUGGUUUUGGUGU